UAGACAUCACGACAAUUAAAUCGGUGAGAAAUACACGCGAUGUAAAACAAUGUCAUUAACAUCGAUUCCUCAAAAACCGAUUUGUAUGCAUAUAACUGACAUCGUUUUUUACUGUUGACCGAUGUCUAUAUUUUGAUUCUAAAAUUUUCAAAAACGCGGAAACACUAAGUUAAAAAUUUUAAGGAACGCGGGGAACAAAAUUUUCAUUCCCCACACUUAUUAUUUUUUCAACUCACUUUAUCUCUAACUUCCACACAAUUGAAAACUGGCGACCCAUUUUCUCUCUUGCUAUUCCCCGAACCCUAGCCCUCUCCUCCUUCCUCUCCCACUCUCUUUCCACGGCCACCACCGAUUCCCUCUCCUCCGCUCACUCCCGCUACUAUCUCUCUCUCUCUCAUUAACCGUCUCCGCCCCCUUGCCGGCGCCAUCACCUCCACGAGCAAGAUCUCUCUCUCUCAGAUCUCGGAAGACUGAAAGAAGGCAAAGAAUCCUUCUCUCAAUCUCCCUCUCGAAUUGGGGAAAUCGAUUGCUUCUAUGAACCAAGACAACAUCCCAGGGGCGACCGGCACCAUUCUAUCAAAUUGAGUACUGGGUACUCAACAAGUUCGCUUUUUGACGGUGACGCAAAAAUUCAUUUUCAAUUUCAAAUGUCGUUUUCAAUGGGGAACUCUUGGGAUAUCGAUUUGGGGCUUUCCUGGUCAGAGACCAAUGGAGCAGAACCAAAAAUCAAUAAUACCCAUGACCCGUAUGUACUCAGAUUCAGUUAGCAGGGCAGUGCUCAAGUGCGUGUCAUUGACCCAUAACCAUUCUUCACUUGCUCAAAACUUCAAAAGGGUACGCUUCUUUGACUCAUGAGAACUCUGUUCAGUUCAUUAAUAUGUUUCAAAUUCUUAAGUGUUAUUGUGAUCAAUUUUGGAUCAGAGAGAACUUUAUACCAAUAUUAAAAAGAAAAGUAGAUUAACAUGAUCUCUUGUGCUGUGGAAAACUUUCAGCUUGCUUUGUAGGAAAGCUAAGAAACUGUCUGGUUUUUCUUUAUGUUUCUGGUUAAAGUUGCCAAAUUAUAUACUCCUGCACUUAUCAUGAUCACUUAUAAUAGUUGGAAGGUAUAAUGUAUAUUCUUUUUUUGUGUUUAAAUGAAAUAGGUUUCGACCUCGAAUUUUUAUUGAUGUAAGCAAGAUAGACUUGAGCACAGCGUUACUAUUUUGGGCUUCAAAGUUUCAAUGCCCAUCAUGAUUGCUCCUACAGGCAUGCAGAAGAUGGCUCACCGUGAAAAUAUAAUCCCCUUUGGAAAGACAGUUUUACUUUAUUUUCCUGUGACAUGUUUAUACAAUAAGUUGCAUAAAAAUCUUUGACUUAGAAAACAGUUCAAGUCAUAUUCGGUAUCUUGAUAUGGUUGAAUCGAUGCAGUACUCUUCUAAAGCUUCUUUUUGUGUAUUUUUGUCUGUAAGACAAAGCUAGCUGAAUUUAUAUCUGUAAUUCUAAUCUUUAUGGUUGAAUAGACAGAAAAUCAUUUUUAUUGGUGGAUUGACUGAUGGCUUUCUGGCAACAGGGUAUGUAUAAUGAAUCCUUAACUUUUAUGAUGACAUUUUUUCUUUUAUUAAUCAUCAUUGGUAGAUUUUGGUGUUGAUAGAUUGCAUCGUAUGCAAAUUUCCACCAAGAAAUGCUCUCUUGAUUUAAAAUUCACUGUCAUACCAGAAAAUGAAAAAAUUCACUGUACUAAAUUGUUGGAUGCUUAAAGCAAGUUAUUUCUAUCUCAUCUCUCUUUUCUGAUUUUCAGAUACUUGGAACCUCUUGCAAUUGCUUUGGACAAGGAGAAAUGGUCACUUGUUCAAUUAAUUGAUAUGGCACUUCCUCUAUAUAUAUAUAUAUAUAUAUAUAAUGAAAAACAUAUAUAUAGUUUAAGAUGAUACAUAUUUCAUUAAUGAAUGUUGAGUAGUUGUAAUUGAAGUUCAAAUUGAUUUAUUUUAGGAUAAAAGAUUUCUGCUUCACAUGUGUUCAAGGAAUACCUUCGGAGAGGCUUAACUUCACCAGAGAUAAGUCUUGGAUUAGUUGGCCUGACCUUUGCAUCUUUGUGUACUAAACAAGGACCGAGUUGGAACAAUUUUGUGUAUAACUGUAUAUAUUUCUAUUUUCUGGGUUUGCUAGAAGCACUUUUUUGAGUUCCUUUUUUACCAUAUGGUAGGCUAAAGUCCCUCCUAAGGUACAAGUUUUUGCUUGGGGCUGUUGCUCACAGGAGAGUUAUACUUGUGAGGUCAACAGCAAAGCCCUUCUGUUUGACUUUGGCCACUUGAAAGAAAGAGGCAGUUGAGGGUAUUGGUAACAUUUUCCUUCAUUUUCUAGUGGUGUUGAGAUUGGAUAGAAGUGUCUGCUGCUAUGGUGAAUGUGGUUCCCUCAGCUGGGGUAUUUGGUGUGGAGUGAUUGCAUCAUGUGUUUUAAUGUUGCCAUUGUGUAUGGAGUAACUGUAUCUUUAUCUUAUGGUGUAGUGACCAUGGUCAAAUGAGUACUUGCUUUUAAUUUUGUUAGGGUCAAUACAGUUGCCCUGCAUCUCACCAUGAAUAUUCAUCUUUGAUCGCAAAUUUAUGUCUUUGGAUUCAAUGGUGCCAGUCUCUGUCUGUAUUACAGCAAAUGUAUUCAUGCAAUCUGUCUGUGCCUAGUUUUUUUAUAGUAACUUGUUCAGCAUUGUUGACCUUUGACUUGAUUAAUCAUAAUUAAGGACUUAAAUAUCCCAGAAAGGUAUAGUUAAGUUAACCAACAGAUUGUGUUAUGGAUGCUAGGAUAGGAAUGUCUUGUAAGCUCAAUGUCUUUUUGUCUUUCCCUUUUCCUUUCCUUUCUUUCCUUCUGUUUUUCUUGUUAUAGCUAAUUGUCCAUUUAAUUUUAUUUGCAGGUGAAAACAGAAGAACAAAUGGGAUAUAAGUAUGGCGAGGCUUGCUUUCGUUUAUGUUUCUAGUAUUAUGUACCAUAUAGACUUAAAAUUUUGUUUUAUUUCGACACGUUAUGCAUAGAAAUACUUGGGAUGUUGUUAUGUACUUUGAGCAUCAAUAUUAAUAAAAAUUUAUUUACUUACGA
Molecule: long non-coding RNA, 3066 nt
Organism: Rosa rugosa (rugosa rose)
Lineage: Eukaryota; Viridiplantae; Streptophyta; Magnoliopsida; Rosales; Rosaceae
Exons: 2
Source: RefSeq, a predicted model, not a curated record